This 433-nucleotide ribosomal RNA is filed under the name uncultured bacterium. RNAcentral's name for it is "partial 16S ribosomal RNA". It matches the Rfam family "Bacterial small subunit ribosomal RNA", at positions 29 to 507 of the family's 1533-position model. The record is from RNAcentral.
AACGAACGCUGGCGGCAUGCCUAACACAUGCAAGUCGAACGAGACCUUCGGGUCUAGUGGCGCACGGGUGCGUAACGCGUGGGAACCUGCCCUUAGGUUCGGAAUAACUCCCCGAAAGGGGUGCUAAUACCGGAUAAUGUCUUCGGACCAAAGAUUUAUCGCCUUUGGAUGGGCCCGCGUUGGAUUAGCUAGUUGGUAGGGUAAAAGCCUACCAAGGCGACGAUCCAUAGCUGGUCUGAGAGGAUGAUCAGCCACACUGGGACUGAGACACGGCCCAGACUCCUACGGGAGGCAGCAGUGGGGAAUAUUGGACAAUGGGCGAAAGCCUGAUCCAGCAAUGCCGCGGGAGUGAUGAAGGCCUUAGGGUUGUAAAGCUCCUUUACCCGGGAUGAUAAUGACAGUACCGGGAGAAUAAGCUCCGGCUAACUCCGUG